Long non-coding RNA from Zea mays, 412 nucleotides. RefSeq lists it as uncharacterized. The transcript has 2 exons. The record is from RefSeq and is a predicted model, not a curated record. NCBI's taxonomy places the organism in Eukaryota, Viridiplantae, Streptophyta, Magnoliopsida, Poales, Poaceae.
CCCCUCCCUCCCUCCUUCUCCAUUGCUGCAGCUCCCCUUCGUGGUGGCUGUCGCUCCCCCUGCAGCAGCCCCUCCUCUGCUCUCCAUGGACGCCAGCCAUGGCAGCCCCCUAUGCUGCUGCGUGAUGGCUGGAGGUGGAGGUAGAAGAAGACUCCAUGAGGCUAUGAUUGGUACCUCCUUGUUUUGGUUGAUGGUGUGACUUGGCCUUCAUCUCUGCCACCGGGAUAGAUGGUCGAGAGGGUUACUGCUUCCGCAGGAGAGGACCAGGAGGAGUAGCGUGGCCAGGCUUCACCAUGUUACUCGGUUUUCUCCGUUAGUUAUUUCUGCUGCAUUAAAAUUAUGGCUACUAUUUCUGAAACUUUGAUAAUGUAAUCACUAAUGAUACUUCUUAAAUUUGUGGUAUUAUUCUUUA